AUUGAACGCUGGCGGCAUGCUUUACACAUGCAAGUCGAACGGCAGCGCGGGCUUCGGCCUGGCGGCGAGUGGCGAACGGGUGAGUAAUACAUCGGAACGUGCCCAGUAGUGGGGAUAGCCCGGCGAAAGCCGGAUUAAUAACGCAUACGAACUGAGGGUGAAAGCGGGGGGUCUUCGGAACUGCCGCUAUUGGAGCGGCCGAUGGCAUAUUAGCUAGUUGGUGGGGUAAAGGCCUACCAAGGCGACGAUCUGUAGCUGGUCUGAGAGGACGACCAGCCACACUGGGACUGAGACACGGCCCAGACUCCUACGGGAGGCAGCAGUGGGGAAUUUUGGACAAUGGGCGAAAGCCUGAUCCAGCAAUGCCGCGUGUGUGAUGAAGGCCUUCGGGUUGUAAAGCACCUUUGGCGGGAACGAAAAGGACUGUGCCAAUACCACGGUUCGAUGACGGUACCCGCAGAAUAAGCACCGGCUAACUACGUG
This 483-nucleotide ribosomal RNA is filed under the name uncultured bacterium. Its description in RNAcentral is "partial 16S ribosomal RNA". It matches the Rfam family "Bacterial small subunit ribosomal RNA", at positions 29 to 507 of the family's 1533-position model. The record is from RNAcentral.